This 408-nucleotide ribosomal RNA is filed under the name uncultured bacterium. RNAcentral describes it as "partial 16S ribosomal RNA". It matches the Rfam family "Bacterial small subunit ribosomal RNA", at positions 28 to 526 of the family's 1533-position model. The record is from RNAcentral.
GACGAACGCUGGCGGCGUGCUUAACACAUGCAAGUCGAACGAAGUGGCGAACGGGUGAGUAACGCGUCAUCAACCUGCCCUUCAGAGGGGGACAAUCGUUGGAAACGACUGCUACUACCGCAUACUGAAGGUGGGGAUUGCGUCUGAUUAGCUAGUUGGAGGGGUAACGGCCCACCAAGGCGCUGUUCAGUAGCCGGGCUGAGAGGAGGGACGGCCACAUUGGGACGGAGAAACGGCCCAGACUCCUACGGGAGGCAGCAGGGGGGAAACUUCCGCAAUGGACGAAAGUCUGACGGAGGAACGCCGCGUGAGUGAUGACGGCCUUCGGGUUGUAAAGCUCUGUUAAUCGGGACGCGGUACCGGAAUAGAAAGCCACGGCUAACUACGUGCCAGCAGCCGCGGUAAUUC